This 254-nucleotide ribosomal RNA is filed under the name uncultured bacterium. RNAcentral describes it as "partial 16S ribosomal RNA". It matches the Rfam family "Bacterial small subunit ribosomal RNA", at positions 524 to 776 of the family's 1533-position model. The record is from RNAcentral.
UACGUAGGGAGCAAGCGUUGUUCGGAUUUACUGGGCGUAAAGGGCGCGUAGGCGGCUUGUCAAGUCGAUUGUGAAAUCUCCGGGCUUAACUCGGAACGGCCAAUCGAUACUGACGUGCUAGAGUGCAGAAAGGGCAAUCGGAAUUCUUGGUGUAGCGGUGAAAUGCGUAGAUAUCAAGAGGAACCCCUGAGGCGAAGGCGGGUUGCUAGGCUGACACUGACGCUGAGUGCGCGAAAGCCAGGGGAGCAAACGGG